AGCUCCAAUAGCGUAUAUUAAAGUUGUUGCGGUUAAAAAGCUCGUAGUUGGAUUUCUACCGAAGACAGCCGGUCCACACUACGUGUGCGCAUCUGGUAUGACUUCGGUAUCCUCAUGGAGAACAGCUCUGCACUUCACUGUGUGGACUGGUAUUCAUGACUUUUACUUUGAGGAAAUUAGAGUGUUCACGGCAGGCAAUCGCCCUGAAUACAUUAGCAUGGAAUAAUAAUAUAGGACUUCGGCCC
RNAcentral lists this ribosomal RNA (245 nucleotides) under uncultured eukaryote. Its description in RNAcentral is "partial small subunit ribosomal RNA". It matches the Rfam family "Eukaryotic small subunit ribosomal RNA", at positions 587 to 836 of the family's 1831-position model. The record is from RNAcentral.